UGGGGAAUAUUGCACAAUGGGCGCAAGCCUGAUGCAGCCAUGCCGCGUGUAUGAAGAAGGCCUUCGGGUUGUAAAGUACUUUCAGCGGGGAGGAAGGGAGUAAAGUUAAUACCUUUGCUCAUUGACGUUACCCGCAGAAGAAGCACUGGCUAACUCCGUGCCAGCAGCCGCGGUAAUACGGAGGGUGCAAGCGUUAAUCGGAAUUACUGGGCGUAAAGCGCACGCAGGCGGUUUGUUAAGUCAGAUGUGAAAUCCCCGGGCUGAACCUGAGAACUUCAUCUGCUACUGGCAAGCUUGAGUCUCGUAGAGAGUGGUAGAGUUCCAGGUGUAGCGAUGAAAUGCGUAGAGAUCUGGAGGAAUACCGGUGGCGAAGGCGGCCCCCUGUACGAAGACUAACGCUCAGGUGCGAAAGCGUGGGGAGCAAACAGG
Molecule: ribosomal RNA, 429 nt
Filed under: Chloroflexota bacterium
Lineage: Bacteria; Bacillati; Chloroflexota
Description: Chloroflexi bacterium partial 16S ribosomal RNA
Rfam family: Bacterial small subunit ribosomal RNA
Source: RNAcentral